AAAGUACUCCCUCCAUAUGGAAAUACUCGUUAGAGGAAUGGAUGAAUCUAGAUGUAUUUUAGUUCUAGAUACAUCCAUUUUUAUCCAUUUGCGCGACGAGUAAUUCCGAAUGGAGGAAGUAGUAA
This is a non-coding RNA of Hordeum vulgare subsp. vulgare (domesticated barley), 125 nucleotides long. The record is from Rfam. NCBI's taxonomy places the organism in Eukaryota, Viridiplantae, Streptophyta, Magnoliopsida, Poales, Poaceae.